UAUCUUACGCAUCAAAUUACUACCACCUACGUCUAAUGAUAAGUGUGGUAUACAAUUUUAUCGGGAACAAUUUUAGAUAUACGUAUAUGUAGAUGUACCACAUUUAAUGUUAUGAUUUGUACUUUGCAUAUUGCAUUAAAGUUUGGUACUGGCAUUUAAUUAGAAAACUGAGCAGAGAUCUUACUCAAUAUAUUAGUGCUCAAUUGUUAUUCAACUAUAGAAAAGAUAAUAAUAAAUGGAAUUGAAAAGCAAGGUACUCGUCUAUGGUGUUAAUAAUAUUUGAGGAUAUAAUAAGCACAAUUGAAAGAAAGAAUUAUAUAUAUGAUACUGUUUCAAUGAACUGAAUUCUCGAAACUGAAUUCGUAUGGGAAUAAUUUGUACGAAGACGAGUUCGGAUGCGCGAUUAUAAAAUAUUCUGUCCUUAUUUUAAUUUCAUAAUUAAUAUUAAUUCAAAUCACAACUAAUGGGCAAUGUUGGGGCCAAGAAACCCUGAUGCGCCAUCUCCGUGUGUCUGCGAAGACAAAAGGCAUCGUCUCCAGCGUGCGAAAAAAAAACAUGCACGCGCGCUACAUACACAUAAAGACGCUUGCCAACUUCAGUCGUGAGAUAAAUCCUCGUCAGUGGAUAAAUAUCUCGGCCUUCAUGUGGUGGUUCCAUAAAAACAAGAUUCUAAGUGGCUUAACCAUGGAAACUUCCUUUAACGCGUUCACUGGAGCAACGUCGAUGCCGUGAGAACGUCCGGCACGACUGGCUUCGGAGGGGGGUCCAAACAUCACACUCUCAUCUCACUCAUCGUAGCUUGGGACACACGACUCGAUACGGUGGCAUUCUGCAACAGGGGCUGGUUCUCGGGAGAACUCUUUGCUCGGGGGGGUGGAGGUGUUGCUCUUGGUAGUGUCAGAUGUAAUUUGUACGGUAAAAACGGAAGGACCAUUUUGAUAUUUUCUUAGGAAAUAAAGCGAUUUAGCGGAGCAAUUUAAUUAUCGAGCAUGAAAGACCAAAAGAUGGUGCGAUGUGCUGUAAAAAAAUAAACGUCACAUUUUGUAUGUCGAACUAAUUUUUAAUUCGAUCGUCACCUCUGUGAGAACGCCAGGAAAUUUCGCUUCGUUAAUUCGCACCAUGUCUUUCAGGAAGGUUCUAGAACUUUCCAGGGGAAAUUGAAAUUUUCGGCGAAAAAAGAAACGAAAAUCGAAAUAAGUAUGAUGGAAAAAGACGAAAGUUUGAGAUUCGUUUUAAUGAAGUUUGUCGCCGUCCUCAUCUCCACCAAAUCUACGGAAAUUCGCUAACAGGAUAAAAGGGAUGGUACCAUCCGCCGUCAAAAUAAUCACCGCGCCGUGGAACGUCAAGAAGAAGCUUCACCGUUGUAAAUUUCACCUGGUCAGACUUUAGCAGUUUUAAAAGCUCCUUAAUAAGAUUAUGAAUGGAGCUUCCACCAAAGGCCGUAGCUCGUUAAAACAGCGGAAGUUUCUUAAAUCAACAUGUUGAGUACAGAGGUCCUCGAUCUUAAUGUCAUGAACAAAUUCCCUGUUUUUGGUUGAUGGAUAUUACGAGAUAUUCCGUUUGUAGUAUAUACUCUACGUUUUUUUUCAAGACAAGAUAGUUGAUAUUGAACAUCGUGUUCAAAUUUUGUUCGAUGCGACGUCUAGAUUGUCUUGAUUAUGGUGCAAGAAGGGAUUUAUCUCGUUUGAGGAGAAAUUUCGUACAUGAGUAGGGCAAUUUUUGGGAACGGUGUACAAAUGAAAUAAAUGGAAUCCGAUAGAGUAAUAAAAAGAGAUUAAUACAAAAACAAGGAGAGGUAUGGAAUUUUUGAUUGACGAUGGAAUUUUAUGAGACUCCAUUCCUCUAUCUAAUUGCGAUACGCAAACGUUGGAGUAAAAUGACUG
This is an RNA transcript of Bombus pyrosoma, 1883 nucleotides long. RefSeq lists it as uncharacterized. NCBI's taxonomy places the organism in Eukaryota, Metazoa, Arthropoda, Insecta, Hymenoptera, Apidae. The record is from RefSeq and is a predicted model, not a curated record. The transcript is spliced from 5 exons.